RNAcentral lists this ribosomal RNA (149 nucleotides) under Ailuropoda melanoleuca (giant panda). RNAcentral's name for it is "similar to 28S ribosomal RNA". It matches the Rfam family "Eukaryotic large subunit ribosomal RNA", at positions 2330 to 2478 of the family's 3401-position model. The record is from RNAcentral. Lineage: Eukaryota; Metazoa; Chordata; Mammalia; Carnivora; Ursidae.
AGAUUCCCACUAUCCCUACCUACUACCCAGUGAAACCACAGCCAAGGGACCAGGCUUGGUGGAAUCAGUGGGGAAAGAAGACCCUGUUGAGCCUGACUCUGGUCUGGCACAGGGAAGAGCCAUGAGAGGUGUAGAAUAAGUGGGAGGCC